AGUGAACGCUGGCGGUAGGCCUAACACAUGCAAGUCGAACGGCAGCACAGUAAGAGCUUGCUCUUACGGGUGGCGAGUGGCGGACGGGUGAGGAAUACAUCGCAAUCUACUUUUUCGUGGGGGAUAACGUAGGGAAACUUACGCUAAUACCGCAUACGACCUACGGGUGAAAGCAGGGGAUCUUCGCACCUUGCGCGAUUCAAUGAGCCGAUGCCGGAUUAGCUAGUUGGCGGGGUAAAGGCCCACCAAGGCGACGAUCCGUAGCUGGUCUGAGAGGAUGAUCAGCCACACUGGAACUGAGACACGGUCCAGACUCCUACGGGAGGCAGCAGUGGGGAAUAUUGGACAAUGGGCGCAAGCCUGAUCCAGCAAUACCGCGUGGGUGAAGAAGGCCUUCGGGUUGUAAAGCCCUUUUGUUGGGAAAGAAAAGCAGCAGGUGAAUACCCCGCUGUUCUGACGGUACCCAAAGAACAAGCACCGGCUAACUUCGUG
Molecule: ribosomal RNA, 492 nt
Filed under: uncultured bacterium
Lineage: Bacteria
Description: partial 16S ribosomal RNA
Rfam family: Bacterial small subunit ribosomal RNA
Source: RNAcentral